UAAAUACUAAUACCAGAUCGAUAGUGCACAAGUACCGUGAGGGAAAGGUGAAAAGAACUGAGGUGAUCAGAGUGAAAUAGAACCUGAAACCAUUUGCUUACAAUCAUUCAGAGCCCUAUGUAGCAAUACAGGGUGAUGGACUGCCUUUUGCAUAAUGAGCCUGCGAGUUGUGGUGUCUGGCAAGGUUAAGCAAACGCGAAGCCGUAGCGAAAGCGAGUCUGAAUAGGGCGCUUAGUCAGAUGCUGCAGACCCGAAACGAAGUGAUCUAUCCAUGAGCAAGUUGAAGCUAGUGUAAGAACUAGUGGAGGACUGAACCCAUAGGCGUUGAAAAGCCCCGGGAUGACUUGUGGAUAGGGGUGAAAGGCCAAUCAAACUUCGUGAUAGCUGGUUCUCUCCGAAAUAUAUUUAGGUAUAGCGUUGUGUCGUAAUAUAAGGGGGUAGAGCACUGAAUGGGCUAGGGCAUACACCAAUGUACCAAACCCUAUCAAACUCCGAAUACCUUAUAUGUAAUCACAGCAGUCAGGCGGCGAGUGAUAAAAUCCGUCGUCAAGAGGGAAACAACCCAGACUACCAGCUAAGGUCCCUAAAUCUUACUUAAGUGGAAAACGAUGUGAAGUUACUUAAACAACCAGGAGGUUGGCUUAGAAGCAGCCAUCCUUUAAAGAAAGCGUAAUAGCUCACUGGUCUAGUGAUUUUGCGCGGAAAAUAUAACGGGGCUAAAGUAAGUACCGAAGCUGUAGACUUGCACACAACUUAGAUUAUUUAAGUUUAGAAUAUGAGAAACUAAGUUAUAUGUUUAGUUAUAUUUUUACUGAUUUUUAUAGAGUAAAGAUAGAAAUAAAACUUAGUAAAAUCAGUAAAAAUAUUCUUAGACUAAAGUUAAGUAGUUUAAGUUGUGUGCAAGUGGUAGGAGAGCGUUCUAUUUGCGUCGAAGGUAUACCGGUAAGGAGUGCUGGAGCGAAUAGAAGUGAGCAUGCAGGCAUGAGUAGCGAUAAUUAAUGUGAGAAUCAUUAACGCCGUAAACCCAAGGUUUCCUACGCGAUGCUCGUCAUCGUAGGGUUAGUCGGGUCCUAAGUCGAGUCCGAAAGGGGUAGACGAUGGCAAAUUGGUUAAUAUUCCAAUACCAACAUUAGUGUGCGAUGGAAGGACGCUUAGGGCUAAGGGGGCUAGCGGAUGGAAGUGCUAGUCUAAGGUCGUAGGAGGUUAUACAGGCAAAUCCGUAUAACAAUACUCCGAGAACUGAAAGGCUUUUUGAAGUCUUCGGAUGGAUAGAAGAACCCCUGAUGCCAUCGAGCCAAGAAAAGUUUCUAAGUUUAGCUAAUGUUGCCCGUACCGUAAACCGACACAGGUGGGUGGGAUGAGUAUUCUAAGGCGCGUGGAAGAACUCUCUUUAAGGAACUCUGCAAAAUAGCACCGUAUCUUCGGUAUAAGGUGUGGUUCGCUUCGUAUUAGGAUUUACUCCGAAAGCGAAGAAACUUACAACAAAGAGUCCCUCCCGACUGUUUACCAAAAACACAGCACUCUGCUAACUCGUAAGAGGAUGUAUAGGGUGUGACGCCUGCCCGGUGCUCGAAGGUUAAUUGAUGGGGUUAGCAUUAGCGAAGCUCUUGAUCGAAGCCCGAGUAAACGGCGGCCGUAACUAUAACGGUCCUAAGGUAGCGAAAUUCCUUGUCGGUUAAAUACCGACCUGCAUGAAUGGCGUAACGAGAUGGGAGCUGUCUCAAAGAGGGAUCCAGUGAAAUUGUAGUGGAGGUGAAAAUUCCUCCUACCCGCGGCAAGACGGAAAGACCCCGUGGACCUUUACUACAGCUUGACACUGCUAUUUGGAUAAGAAUGUGCAGGAUAGGUGGGAGGCUUUGAGUAUAUGACGCCAGUUGUAUAUGAGCCAUUGUUGAGAUACCACUCUUUCUUAUUUGGGUAGCUAACCAGCUUGAGUUAUCCUCAAGUGGGACAAUGUCUGGUGGGUAGUUUGACUGGGGCGGUCGCCUCCCAAAUAAUAACGGAGGCUUACAAAGGUUGGCUCAGAACGGUUGGAAAUCGUUCGUAGAGUAUAAAGGUAUAAGCCAGCUUAACUGCAAGACAUACAAGUCAAGCAGAGACGAAAGUCGGUCUUAGUGAUCCGGUGGUUCUGUGUGGAAGGGCCAUCGCUCAAAGGAUAAAAGGUACCCCGGGGAUAACAGGCUGAUCUCCCCCAAGAGCUCACAUCGACGGGGAGGUUUGGCACCUCGAUGU
RNAcentral lists this ribosomal RNA (2232 nucleotides) under Campylobacter coli. RNAcentral describes it as "partial 23S ribosomal RNA". It matches the Rfam family "Bacterial large subunit ribosomal RNA", at positions 467 to 2532 of the family's 2925-position model. Lineage: Bacteria; Pseudomonadati; Campylobacterota; Epsilonproteobacteria; Campylobacterales; Campylobacteraceae. The record is from RNAcentral.